Molecule: microRNA precursor, 103 nt
Filed under: Marmota monax (woodchuck)
Lineage: Eukaryota; Metazoa; Chordata; Mammalia; Rodentia; Sciuridae
Source: RNAcentral
AGUGAGAUAGCUGGGCCAAAUGGUAGUUGUAUUCCCAGUUUUCUGAGGAAUCUCCAUAAUGUUUUCUAUAGGGGUUGCACCAAUUUGCAGUCCCACCAGCAAU